Molecule: long non-coding RNA, 439 nt
Organism: Phasianus colchicus (ring-necked pheasant)
Lineage: Eukaryota; Metazoa; Chordata; Aves; Galliformes; Phasianidae
Source: RefSeq, a predicted model, not a curated record
GGGAUGGGUUUCUUUCUGGAGAUCCCUCCUUGGUGGAGCUUUCCCCUGUGAACGUGGAAUCUUCUGAUGCAGGUGUGUGAAACUUACAGGCAGUUCUAUCUCGUAAGCUCCUGGAGAUACUGUUGGCUUUGUUGGGCAGCACCAUACAGAAUUUUUUCUAGCAUACUGGAGAGAAUUGCACAUCUGCUCCCUACUCCGUAGAGGCCAAUAUGGGACUUGAUAGCAGAGGAAUCUCUGUGGAAAUUUUUCAGGUAUUGACAGAAGAAGGAAACCAUUUCCAUCUAAAACUCCUAUUAAAAGCAAGAGGCACUAAAUUCUGCACAUGCUUUUCAUGCUGGCAUAUUAAUGUGUUUUCUGGCCAGUGGCAGUUCUUAGUCUCAGUAGAAGCUCAUAAUUGGAGUUUGCUAUGCUUUUUCUUGGGUGCAAUAAAUUUUUUUGU